RNAcentral lists this long non-coding RNA (1729 nucleotides) under Macaca fascicularis (crab-eating macaque). Its description in RNAcentral is "lncRNA (ENSMFAG00000058188.1)". Lineage: Eukaryota; Metazoa; Chordata; Mammalia; Primates; Cercopithecidae. The record is from RNAcentral.
UUUUUUUUUUUUUUUGGAGACAGAGUUUCACUCUUGUUGCCCAGGCUGAAGGGCAGUGGUGCAAUUGGCUCACUGCAACCUCUAUUUUCCGGUGAUUUUCCUGCCUCAGCCUCCUGAAUAGCUGGGAUUAGAGGUGCCUGCUACCACGCCCAGCUAAUUUUUGUAUUAUUGUAUUUUUAGUAGAGACAGAGUUUCACCAUGUUGGCCAGGCUGGUCUCGAACUCCUGACUUCGUGAUCUGCCCACCUUGGCCUCCCAAAGUGCUAGGAUUACAGGCGUGAGCCACCGCGCCCGGCCUGCCAACAGAGAUUUUAUGGAAGAUGAAGAAGCAGCUUUUUUCGUGUGCCCAUUUCUGAGUUAUUCCAGGACUCACCAAGGGUAUUGAAACUGAAGGAGUGGUAGUCUUUCUUCGAGUACUACAUGGCUCGGUGGGGAUUGAGGGGUAGAACCCGACCAUACGUAGGCAUGGAGGGAUGGCAUGUAUGUUCCCAAGGUGUCACUUCUCUUAGCCAAACAUUGUUUUGCUUAUCUAAGUAUGAAUGCCAGUGAUGGUAUCAAAUGGUCGGUGGCUGGGAUCCAGCCCCUGUAUUUUUGAUCAGCUGACAGGAUCCCAGAGGAAAUAUACACAGAGGCCGCUCUAAAAAACCCUUCUGUUGAUGACUUCACACCUUUGGCGCCGUGAGGCAGCGUGGUGGGCUAGUCCGGAGAGUCUGGUGCCUGAGGACUCCUGUGGCUGGAGAAGUGGCCCAAGGCCCAGAAACUUCCUUGGUACCAGCCCCGGGUCCACAUCCUUAUUACAAUGGCCCUUUAGAUCUUACCACAUUCUAGGUAAGGAAGGGAGAUCGAUCGGAGGUAGGGAAUACCAAGGACAAGAGGGAAAGGGUGUCUCUGAAUGACCCAGGGCAGAACUGGCCAGGUGCCGUCCCUGAACUCCUAGGUCAUGACUGAGAAACUCAGAGGAGGAGAAAGGGUGAGAAAAAGUGAGCAAGUUACUUAAAGUUUAUCUUCUCAUUUGGACUAUAAGCUCCCUGUGUCUGUUUCUGGUCUCCUGUGCCCAGCAGAAGGUAUGGGACCUAGUGAAUGUUCAAUAAAUCGUUUUUGGGAAAAGAGCCCGAGGGGGCUGCAGUCCAGGUAUUGGGAGGCUGUGAGGGAAGAGGCGGUUGGAUCAGUAAGUCUGGAAGGAGAAGUGUGGAGCUAAAGUUUCCGGAGGGCAGGUCACUCUCAGAGGCCCAUGGGAAUGACAUCAGGGGGAGACUCCCAGAGUGGGCCUCAUGGCAGCUUUUUUCUCACCAGUGGUCAGAAUGGCCCCAGGACUGCAGCCCACCAGAUUUGUCAAGGACACAAAAAAUGAGUCAGAGAAGUCUCCCCCAGCCCCUAGCCCUGUGAACCAACCAUUCCAGGCAGUGUCAGUGUCUCUGCUCCAACAGGUGUGUGCCCAUGGUCCUAACUGCCUGGCACUGGUCAGUCCUAGCUGGGUAUGGAGCUCCCCUUUGAGAACAGGGCUGUGCCAGGCCUGUGGGAGACCAAGUACUAGCUCUGAUGGUUCUCACUUGGACAGCAACCAGCUUAGUCCUGCUAACCUGGGUCCACCUGAGCGGGUAGAAGGGAGCUUCCCUGAGCCAAGGAAGAAUGCUGAAUUCAGGCCGCAGGCAGAAAGAAACAGGACAGAGAGAAGAUUCCAGGAAAAGAGGAAAUCUGCUCCCAGUACACACCACCUCCCUCGUGGAGGC